Molecule: transfer RNA, 71 nt
Filed under: Chioglossa lusitanica
Lineage: Eukaryota; Metazoa; Chordata; Amphibia; Caudata; Salamandridae
Description: tRNA-Ile
Rfam family: tRNA
About the family: Transfer RNA (tRNA) molecules are approximately 80 nucleotides in length.
Source: RNAcentral
GGACAUGUGCCCGAAAGAUAAGGGCCACUUUGAUAGAGUGAAAAAUAUAGGUUAAAACCCUCUCAUAUCCU